CGAAUAUGACUACAUGCUUUCCUGGUGUGUGGUGGAAAGCUUUUGCGGUGUGGGAUGGGCCCGCGGCCUAUCAGCUUGUUGGUGGGGUAAUGGCCCUACCAAGGGCGACGACGGGUAGCCGGCCUGAGAGGGUGACCGGCCACACUGGGACUGAGAUACGGCCCAGACUCCUACGGGAGGCAGCAGUGGGGGAAUAUUGCACAAUGGGCGCAAGCCUGAUGCAGCGACGCCGCGUGAGGGAUGACGGCCUUCGGGUUGUAAACCUCUUUCAGCACAGACGAAGCGUGAGUGACGGUAUGUGCAGAAGAAGGACCGGCCAACUACGUGCCAGCAGCCGCGGUAAUACGUAGGGUCCGAGCGUUGUCCGGAAUUACUGGGCGUAAAGAGCUCGUAGGUGGUUUGUCGCGUUGUUCGUGAAAACUCACAGCUUAACUGUGGGCGUGCGGGCGAUACGGGCAGACUUGAGUACUGCAGGGGAGACUGGAAUUCCUGGUGUAGCGGUGGAAUGCGCAGAUAUCAGGAGGAACACCGGUGGCGAAGGCGGGUCUCUGGGCAGUAACUGACGCUGAGGAGCGAAAGCGUGGGGAGCGAACAGGAUUAGAUACCCUGGUAGUCCACGCCGUAAACGGUGGGUACUAGGUGUGGGUUUCCUUCCUUGGGAUCCGUGCCGUAGCUAACGCAUUAAGUACCCCGCCUGGGGAGUACGGCCGCAAGGCUAAAACUCAAAGAAAUUGACGGGGGCCCGCACAAGCGGCGGAGCAUGUGGAUUAAUUCGAUGCAACGCGAAGAACCUUACCUGGGUUUGACAUGCACAGGACGCUGGUAGAGAUAUCAGUUCCCUUGUGGUCUGUGUGCAGGUGGUGCAUGGCUGUCGUCAGCUCGUGUCGUGAGAUGUUGGGUUAAGUCCCGCAACGAGCGCAACCCUUGUCCUAUGUUGCCAGCGGG
Molecule: ribosomal RNA, 945 nt
Filed under: uncultured Mycobacterium sp.
Lineage: Bacteria; Bacillati; Actinomycetota; Actinomycetes; Mycobacteriales; Mycobacteriaceae
Description: bacterial SSU rRNA
Rfam family: Bacterial small subunit ribosomal RNA
Source: RNAcentral